Molecule: ribosomal RNA, 207 nt
Filed under: uncultured bacterium
Lineage: Bacteria
Description: partial 16S ribosomal RNA
Rfam family: Bacterial small subunit ribosomal RNA
Source: RNAcentral
CGCGUAGGCGGGCGUCUAAGUCAGGGGUGAAAUCCCGAGGCUCAACCUCGGAAUUGCCUUUGAUACUGGAUGUCUCGAGACCGGAAGAGGUGAGUGGAACUGCGAGUGUAGAGGUGAAAUUCGUAGAUAUUCGCAAGAACACCAGUGGCGAAGGCGGCUCACCGGUCCGGUUCUGACGCUGAGGCGCGAAAGCGUGGGGAGCAAACA